AUAUCUUAUUUUCUGUUGUUCAACAGAGAAUAGAAUUAACAUUCUUAUUUUUGAUUCUUCAACAACCGAAAAUGUUAUAUUUUUUAUUUUUCGACAACCAAGAAUGUUAUAUUUUUUAUUUUUCAACAACCCUAGAACAACCGUGAACAACCCUUGAACAACCGAAACUAAGACUGAACAUUAUGAGCCCCACUAUUUUCGAUUGUUCAAUUAACUUAUUUUCGAUUUUUGAACAACCGAAAAUCUAGCCAUUUUGAUUGUUCAAAAACCAAAAAAUGGUACAAAAAUAAUGUCUGUUUUUAAGAAUCUUCGUUAUGAAGUGAAAAAAACAAGCAGUCCAAAAAUGACAAAAGCUAUUUGGUAUUUUGAUAAUAACAAAAACCAGUGUUUUAAAAAACGCCGAGUCAAACCGGACUCGCCCGGUUCGACUCGGAAAUCGUGAAAAGGGGACCGGAUCGCCUAAAAAAUCGAAAAUCGUUCGGUUCUAG
Molecule: long non-coding RNA, 488 nt
Filed under: Amborella trichopoda
Lineage: Eukaryota; Viridiplantae; Streptophyta; Magnoliopsida; Amborellales; Amborellaceae
Description: long non-coding RNA (ATRI_LNC000412)
Source: RNAcentral